RNAcentral lists this ribosomal RNA (393 nucleotides) under uncultured archaeon. RNAcentral's name for it is "bacterial SSU rRNA". It matches the Rfam family "Archaeal small subunit ribosomal RNA", at positions 5 to 383 of the family's 1478-position model. The record is from RNAcentral.
CGGUUGAUCCUGCCAGAGGCCGCUGCUCUCUUGCUGGGACUAAGCCAUGCUAGUCUAGGGGCUUGUACUCCUUCGGGGGUGCAAGCACCGGCGGACGGCUCAGUAACACGUGGACAACCUGCCCUCGGGUGGGGGAUAACCCCGGGAAACUGGGGCUAAUCCCCCAUAGGUGAUGGGUGCUGGAAUGCCCCAUCUCCGAAAGCGCUUAGCGCCCGAGGAUGGGUCUGCGGCGGAUUAGGUAGUUGGUGGGGUAACGGCCCACCAAGCCUAAGAUCCGUACGGGCUGUGGGAGCAGGAGCCCGGAGAUGGACCCUGAGACAAGGGUCCAGGCCCUACGGGGCGCAGCACGCGCGAAACCUCCGCAAUGCGGGAAACCGCCACGGGGUUAGCCGG